ACUGCUUCCGACGAGUAAAGCUGUUUAUACUAAAAUUCAAACAAUACAGAGAAGAUUAGCAUGGCCCUUGUGCGAGGAUGACACGCAAAUUCGUGAAGCGUUCCAAAAUUUU
This is a non-coding RNA of Oesophagostomum dentatum (nodular worm), 112 nucleotides long. The record is from Rfam. Lineage: Eukaryota; Metazoa; Nematoda; Chromadorea; Rhabditida; Strongylidae.